GGACCUUUAGCUCAGUUGGUNNAACCGUCCGGUCAUAGGUUCAAAUCCUAUAAGGUCCA
RNAcentral lists this transfer RNA (59 nucleotides) under Bacillus thuringiensis. Its description in RNAcentral is "tRNA-OTHER". It matches the Rfam family "tRNA". From Rfam's summary of the family: Transfer RNA (tRNA) molecules are approximately 80 nucleotides in length. The record is from RNAcentral. Lineage: Bacteria; Bacillati; Bacillota; Bacilli; Caryophanales; Bacillaceae.